This is a long non-coding RNA of Homo sapiens (human), 1712 nucleotides long. RefSeq annotates it as PCGEM1 prostate-specific transcript. NCBI's taxonomy places the organism in Eukaryota, Metazoa, Chordata, Mammalia, Primates, Hominidae. The record is from RefSeq and is marked reviewed. The transcript is spliced from 4 exons.
AAGGCACUCUGGCACCCAGUUUUGGAACUGCAGUUUUAAAAGUCAUAAAUUGAAUGAAAAUGAUAGCAAAGGUGGAGGUUUUUAAAGAGCUAUUUAUAGGUCCCUGGACAGCAUCUUUUUUCAAUUAGGCAGCAACCUUUUUGCCCUAUGCCGUAACCUGUGUCUGCAACUUCCUCUAAUUGGGAAAUAGUUAAGCAGAUUCAUAGAGCUGAAUGAUAAAAUUGUACUACGAGAUGCACUGGGACUCAACGUGACCUUAUCAAGUGAGAUGGAGUCUUGCCCUGUCUCCAAGGCUGGAGCCCAAUGGUGUGAUCUUGGCUCACUGCAACCUCCACCUCCCAGGUUCAAACGUUUCUCCUGCCUCAGCCUCCCAAGUAACUGGGAUUACAGCAGGCUUGGUGCAUUUGACACUUCAUGAUAUCAGCCAAAGUGGAACUAAAAACAGCUCCUGGAAGAGGACUAUGACAUCAUCAGGUUGGGAGUCUCCAGGGACAGCGGACCCUUUGGAAAAGGACUAGAAAGUGUGAAAUCUAUUAGUCUUCGAUAUGAAAUUCUCUGUCUCUGUAAAAGCAUUUCAUAUUUACAAGACACAGGCCUACUCCUAGGGCAGCAAAAAGUGGCAACAGGCAAGCAGAGGGAAAAGAGAUCAUGAGGCAUUUCAGAGUGCACUGUCUUUUCAUAUAUUUCUCAAUGCCGUAUGUUUGGUUUUAUUUUGGCCAAGCAUAACAAUCUGCUCAAGAAAAAAAAAUCUGGAGAAAACAAAGGUGCCUUUGCCAAUGUUAUGUUUCUUUUUGACAAGCCCUGAGAUUUCUGAGGGGAAUUCACAUAAAUGGGAUCAGGUCAUUCAUUUACGUUGUGUGCAAAUAUGAUUUAAAGAUACAACCUUUGCAGAGAGCAUGCUUUCCUAAGGGUAGGCACGUGGAGGACUAAGGGUAAAGCAUUCUUCAAGAUCAGUUAAUCAAGAAAGGUGCUCUUUGCAUUCUGAAAUGCCCUUGUUGCAAAUAUUGGUUAUAUUGAUUAAAUUUACACUUAAUGGAAACAACCUUUAACUUACAGAUGAACAAACCCACAAAAGCAAAAAAUCAAAAGCCCUACCUAUGAUUUCAUAUUUUCUGUGUAACUGGAUUAAAGGAUUCCUGCUUGCUUUUGGGCAUAAAUGAUAAUGGAAUAUUUCCAGGUAUUGUUUAAAAUGAGGGCCCAUCUACAAAUUCUUAGCAAUACUUUGGAUAAUUCUAAAAUUCAGCUGGACAUUGUCUAAUUGUUUUUUAUAUACAUCUUUGCUAGAAUUUCAAAUUUUAAGUAUGUGAAUUUAGUUAAUUAGCUGUGCUGAUCAAUUCAAAAACAUUACUUUCCUAAAUUUUAGACUAUGAAGGUCAUAAAUUCAACAAAUAUAUCUACACAUACAAUUAUAGAUUGUUUUUCAUUAUAAUGUCUUCAUCUUAACAGAAUUGUCUUUGUGAUUGUUUUUAGAAAACUGAGAGUUUUAAUUCAUAAUUACUUGAUCAAAAAAUUGUGGGAACAAUCCAGCAUUAAUUGUAUGUGAUUGUUUUUAUGUACAUAAGGAGUCUUAAGCUUGGUGCCUUGAAGUCUUUUGUACUUAGUCCCAUGUUUAAAAUUACUACUUUAUAUCUAAAGCAUUUAUGUUUUUCAAUUCAAUUUACAUGAUGCUAAUUAUGGCAAUUAUAACAAAUAUUAAAGAUUUCGAAAUAGAA